GAUAGUUUAGGUGGUAGAGCAUGAGACUCUUAAUCUCAUUGUUGUGGGUUCAAGCCCCACAUCA
Molecule: non-coding RNA, 64 nt
Organism: Podarcis lilfordi (Lilford's wall lizard)
Lineage: Eukaryota; Metazoa; Chordata; Lepidosauria; Squamata; Lacertidae
Source: the annotation of a GenBank genome assembly